ACAGCUAUAUCACUCUGAAACACAGUUUCUCGUAAGAUCACCGAAGUUAAGUAGCUUUGAGACUCUUCAGUACAUGGAUGGGUGACCGCUUGGAAAUAUCAGGUGCUGUAUG
Acanthosepion pharaonis is the source of this 112-nucleotide non-coding RNA. NCBI's taxonomy places the organism in Eukaryota, Metazoa, Mollusca, Cephalopoda, Sepiida, Sepiidae. The record is from the annotation of a GenBank genome assembly.